RNAcentral lists this transfer RNA (63 nucleotides) under Ophioceres incipiens. Its description in RNAcentral is "tRNA-Ala". Lineage: Eukaryota; Metazoa; Echinodermata; Ophiuroidea; Amphilepidida; Ophiolepididae. The record is from RNAcentral.
AUAGAGGUAGUUAAAUAUAUAACUUUAGACUUGCACUUUAGAAUUGGGCUUUCCCCCUUUAUA